CUUCCGUGACAUCUGUUCGUUUGCGACAUCGCCCGGCGCUAGACCGGCGGUGAAAUUGCUACCGACGCUGUAUGGCGCCGCGUAGGGAGAUCCUGGUGCGAGGCAAUCCGGGCGAGACUGCUUUCCUCUCCCCACACCUCACCCCUCCCCGCCACCCACGCACGAACGCUGUACGAGACUCAACCUCAACAGCCAUGAAACAAGGACAGAGAAUGCUCCUCACGUCUCCCUUCAGUGAGGCUGGUGGGGCUCGUGAGGUGGUGGUGGUGAGGCUGGUGUGGGUGAUGGAGCCGAUGGAGGUGGCGGGGAUGACCCCGCGCCGGCGCUCCUCGUUACCGUUCGCCGGGGACGGCCCCACC
Long non-coding RNA from Lethenteron reissneri (Far Eastern brook lamprey), 359 nucleotides. RefSeq lists it as uncharacterized. Lineage: Eukaryota; Metazoa; Chordata; Hyperoartia; Petromyzontiformes; Petromyzontidae. The record is from RefSeq and is a predicted model, not a curated record.